RNAcentral lists this ribosomal RNA (253 nucleotides) under uncultured bacterium. RNAcentral describes it as "partial 16S ribosomal RNA". It matches the Rfam family "Bacterial small subunit ribosomal RNA", at positions 524 to 776 of the family's 1533-position model. The record is from RNAcentral.
UACGUAGGGUGCGAGCGUUAAUCGGAAUUACUGGGCGUAAAGCGUGCGCAGGCGGUGAUGUAAGACCGAUGUGAAAUCCCCGGGCUUAACCUGGGAACUGCAUUGGUGACUGCAUUGCUGGAGUAUGGCAGAGGGGGGUGGAAUUCCACGUGUAGCAGUGAAAUGCGUAGAGAUGUGGAGGAACACCGAUGGCGAAGGCAGCCCCCUGGGCCAAUACCGACGCUCAUGCACGAAAGCGUGGGGAGCAAACAGG